AUUGAACGCUGGCGGCAUGCUUUACACAUGCAAGUCGAACGGUAACAGGGUGCUUGCACCGCUGACGAGUGGCGAACGGGUGAGUAAUGCAUCGGAAUGUACCGUGUAAUGGGGGAUAGCUCGGCGAAAGCCGGAUUAAUACCGCAUACGCCCUGAGGGGGAAAGUGGGGGACCGAAAGGCCUCACGUUAUACGAGCAGCCGAUGUCUGAUUAGCUAGUUGGUGGGGUAAAGGCUCACCAAGGCGUCGAUCAGUAGCGGGUCUGAGAGGAUGAUCCGCCACACUGGGACUGAGACACGGCCCAGACUCCUACGGGAGGCAGCAGUGGGGAAUUUUGGACAAUGGGCGCAAGCCUGAUCCAGCCAUGCCGCGUGUCUGAAGAAGGCCUUCGGGUUGUAAAGGACUUUUGUCCGGGAGCAAAUCCUAGUGGUUAAUAACCGCUGGGUCUGAGAGUACCGGAAGAAUAAGCACCGGCUAACUACGUG
RNAcentral lists this ribosomal RNA (484 nucleotides) under uncultured bacterium. RNAcentral's name for it is "partial 16S ribosomal RNA". It matches the Rfam family "Bacterial small subunit ribosomal RNA", at positions 30 to 507 of the family's 1533-position model. The record is from RNAcentral.